This 557-nucleotide ribosomal RNA is filed under the name uncultured bacterium. Its description in RNAcentral is "bacterial SSU rRNA". It matches the Rfam family "Bacterial small subunit ribosomal RNA", at positions 27 to 561 of the family's 1533-position model. The record is from RNAcentral.
GGGCGACCGCUGGCGGCGCGCCUAACACAUGCAAGUCGAACGGAGUGUGAUUCCAACAUUGAGCCUCUGACGGGUUCGGGGGUUGAAUGUUGGGAUUGCACUUAGUGGCGGACGGGUGAGUAACACGUGAGCAACCUGCCUUACAGUGGGGAAUAACAUCCGGAAACGGAUGCUAAUACCGCAUAAUGUACCGGGACCGCAUGGUUCUGGUACCAAAGAUUUAUCGCUGUGAGAUGGGCUCGCGCCUGAUUAGAUAGUUGGUGAGGUAAUGGCUCACCAAGUCGACGAUCAGUAGCCGGACUGAGAGGUUGAACGGCCACAUUGGGACUGAGACACGGCCCAAACUCCUACGGGAGGCAGCAGUGGGGGAUAUUGCACAAUGGGCGAAAGCCUGAUGCAGCGACGCCGCGUGAGGGAAGACGGUUUUCGGAUUGUAAACCUCUGUCUUCGGGGAUGAAAAAUGACAGUACCCGAGGAGGAAGCCCACGGCUAAACUACCUGCCAACAGCCCCGGUAAUACCUAAGGUGCCAAGCGUUGUCCCGGAAUUACUGGGUGU